GAUGAACGCUGGCGGCGUGCUUAACACAUGCAAGUCGAACGAAGCACUUUGAUCGAUUUCUUCGGAUUGAAAUUUUAGUGACUGAGUGGCGGACGGGUGAGUAACGCGUGGGUAACCUGCCUCACACAGGGGGAUAACAGUUGGAAACGGCUGCUAAUACCGCAUAAGCGCACAGUACCGCAUGGUACAGUGUGAAAAACUCCGGUGGUAUAAGAUGGACCCGCGUCUGAUUAGCUAGUUGGUGAGGUAACGGCUCACCAAGGCGACGAUCAGUAGCCGACCUGAGAGGGUGACCGGCCACAUUGGGACUGAGACACGGCCCAGACUCCUACGGGAGGCAGCAGUCGGGAAUAUUGCGCAAUGGAGGAAACUCUGACGCAGCGACGCCGCGUGCAGGAAGAAGGUUUUCGGAUUGUAAACUGCUUUAGACAGGGAAGAAAUAAGACAGUACCUGUAGAAUAAGCUCCGGCUAACUACGUG
RNAcentral lists this ribosomal RNA (480 nucleotides) under uncultured bacterium. RNAcentral's name for it is "bacterial SSU rRNA". It matches the Rfam family "Bacterial small subunit ribosomal RNA", at positions 28 to 507 of the family's 1533-position model. The record is from RNAcentral.